This 430-nucleotide ribosomal RNA is filed under the name Pseudomonadota bacterium. RNAcentral describes it as "Proteobacteria bacterium partial 16S ribosomal RNA". It matches the Rfam family "Bacterial small subunit ribosomal RNA", at positions 355 to 776 of the family's 1533-position model. The record is from RNAcentral. Lineage: Bacteria; Pseudomonadati; Pseudomonadota.
UGGGGAAUAUUGGACAAUGGGGGGAACCCUGAUCCAGCCAUGCCGCGUGUGUGAAGAAGGCCUUAUGGUUGUAAAGCACUUUAAGCGAGGAGGAGGGUACUGGUAUUAAUACUACCAGCUACUGGACGUUACUCGCAGAAUAAGCACCGGCUAACUCUGUGCCAGCAGCCGCGGUAAUACAGAGGGUGCGAGCGUUAAUCGGAUUUACUGGGCGUAAAGCGUGCGUAGGCGGCUAAUUGAGUCGGAUGUGAAAUCCCCGAGCUUAACUUGGGAAUUGCAUUCGAUACUGGUUAGCUAGAGUGUGGGAGAGGAUGGUAGAAUUCCAGGUGUAGAGGUGAAAUGCGUAGAGAUCUGGAGGAAUACCGAUGGCGAAGGCAGCCAUCUGGCCUAACACUGACGCUGAGGUACGAAAGCAUGGGGAGCAAACAGG